UACGAAGGGUGCUAGCGUUGUUCGGAAUUACUGGGCGUAAAGCGCACGUAGGCGGCCUUGUAAGUUGGGGGUGAAAUCCCGGAGCUCAACUCCGGAACUGCCUCCAAAACUACAAAGCUCGAGGAUGUGAGAGGAGAGUUGAAUUCCGAGUGUAGAGGUGAAAUUCGUAGAGAUUCGGAAGAACACCAGUGGCGAAGGCGACGCUCUGGCACAUUUCUGACGCUGAGGUGCGAAAGCGUGGGGAGCAAGCAGG
Molecule: ribosomal RNA, 253 nt
Filed under: uncultured bacterium
Lineage: Bacteria
Description: partial 16S ribosomal RNA
Rfam family: Bacterial small subunit ribosomal RNA
Source: RNAcentral